CCUACGGGUGGCAGCAGUAGGGAAUCUUGCUCAAUGGGGGAAACCCUGAAGCAGCAACGCCGCGUGGAGGAUGAAGGUCUUCCGAUUGUUAACUCCUUUUGUUAGAGAAGAUAUUGACGGUAUCUAACGAAUAAUCACCGGCUAACUCCGUGCCAGCAGCUGCGGUUAUACAGAGGGUGCAAGCGUUACUCGGAAUUACUGGGCGUAAAGAGUGCGUAGGCGGGAGAGCAAGUCAGAUGUGAAAUCCUAUGGCUUAACCAUAGAACGGCAUUUGAAACUGUUAUUCUAGAGUAUGGGAGAGGUAGGUGGAAUUCUUGGUGUAGGGGUAAAAUCCGUAGAGAUCAAGAGGAAUACUCAUUGCGAAGGCGACCUGCUAGAACAUAACUGACGCUGAUGCGCGAAAGCGUGGGGAGCAAACAGGAUUAGAUACCCUUGUAGUC
This 440-nucleotide ribosomal RNA is filed under the name uncultured bacterium. Its description in RNAcentral is "partial 16S ribosomal RNA". It matches the Rfam family "Bacterial small subunit ribosomal RNA", at positions 338 to 795 of the family's 1533-position model. The record is from RNAcentral.